RNAcentral lists this ribosomal RNA (1391 nucleotides) under uncultured Actinomycetes bacterium. RNAcentral describes it as "uncultured actinobacterium 16S ribosomal RNA". It matches the Rfam family "Bacterial small subunit ribosomal RNA". Lineage: Bacteria; Bacillati; Actinomycetota; Actinomycetes. The record is from RNAcentral.
AGUCGAACGGAAAGGCCCUGCUUUUGUGGGGUGCUCGAGUGGCGAACGGGUGAGUAACACGUGAGUAACCUGCCCUUGACUUUGGGAUAACUUCAGGAAACUGGGGCUAAUACCGGAUAGGAGCUCCUGCUGCAUGGUGGGGGUUGGAAAGUUUCGGCGGUUGGGGAUGGACUCGCGGCUUAUCAGCUUGUUGGUGGGGUAGUGGCUUACCAAGGCUUUGACGGGUAGCCGGCCUGAGAGGGUGACCGGCCACAUUGGGACUGAGAUACGGCCCAGACUCCUACGGGAGGCAGCAGUGGGGAAUAUUGCACAAUGGGCGAAAGCCUGAUGCAGCAACGCCGCGUGCGGGAUGACGGCCUUCGGGUUGUAAACCGCUUUCGCCUGUGACGAAGCGUGAGUGACGGUAAUGGGUAAAGAAGCACCGGCUAACUACGUGCCAGCAGCCGCGGUGAUACGUAGGGUGCGAGCGUUGUCCGGAUUUAUUGGGCGUAAAGGGCUCGUAGGUGGUUGAUCGCGUCGGAAGUGUAAUCUUGGGGCUUAACCCUGAGCGUGCUUUCGAUACGGGUUGACUUGAGGAAGGUAGGGGAGAAUGGAAUUCCUGGUGGAGCGGUGGAAUGCGCAGAUAUCAGGAGGAACACCAGUGGCGAAGGCGGUUCUCUGGGCCUUUCCUGACGCUGAGGAGCGAAAGCGUGGGGAGCGAACAGGCUUAGAUACCCUGGUAGUCCACGCUGUAAACGGUGGGUACUAGGUGUGGGGUCCAUUCCACGGGUUCCGUGCCGUAGCUAACGCUUUAAGUACCCCGCCUGGGGAGUACGGCCGCGAGGCUAAAACUCAAAGGAAUUGACGGGGCCCCGCACAAGCGGCGGAGCAUGCGGAUUAAUUCGAUGCAACGCGUAGAACCUUACCUGGGUUUGACAUGGAUCGGGAGUGCUCAGAGAUGGGUGUGCCUCUUUUGGGGUCGGUUCACAGGUGGUGCAUGGCUGUCGUCAGCUCGUGUCGUGAGAUGUUGGGUUAAGUCCCGCAACGAGCGCAACCCUUGUUCACUGUUGCCAGCACGUUAUGGUGGGGACUCAGUGGAGACCGCCGGGGUCGACUCGGAGGAAGGUGGGGAUGACGUCAAGUCAUCAUGCCCCUUAUGUCCAGGGCUUCACGCAUGCUACAAUGGCUGGUACAGAGAGUGGCGAGCCUGUGAGGGUGAGCGAAUCUCGGAAAGCCGGUCUCAGUUCGGAUUGGGGUCUGCAACUCGACCUCAUGAAGUCGGAGUCGCUAGUAAUCGCAGAUCAGCAACGCUGCGGUGAAUACGUUCCCGGGGCUUGUACACACCGCCCGUCAAGUCAUGAAAGUUGGUAACACCCGAAGCCGGUGGCCUAACCGUUGUGGGGAACCGUCGA